AAGGGAGCUUGCUCCCGGAUGUUAGCGGCGGACGGGUGAGUAACACGUGGGUAACCUGCCUGUAAGACUGGGAUAACUCCGGGAAACCGGAGCUAAUACCGGAUAGUUCCUUGAACCGCAUGGUUCAAGGAUGAAAGACGGUUUCGGCUGUCACUUACAGAUGGACCCGCGGCGCAUUAGCUAGUUGGUGGGGUAAUGGCUCACCAAGGCGACGAUGCGUACCCGACCUGAGAGGGUGAUCGGCCACACUGGGACUGAGACACGGCCCAGACUCCUACGGGAGGCAGCAGUAGGGAAUCUUCCGCAAUGGACGAAAGUCUGACGGAGCAACGCCGCGUGAGUGAUGAAGGUUUUCGGAUCGUAAAGCUCUGUUGUUAGGGAAAAACAAGUGCGAGAGUAACUGCUCGCACCUUGACGGUACCUAACCAGAAAGCCACGGCUAACUACGUGCCAGCAGCCGCGGUAAUACGUAGGUGGCAAGCGUUGUCCGGAAUUAUUGGGCGUAAAGGGCUCGCAGGCGGUUUCUUAAGUCUGAUGUGAAAGCCCCCGGCUCAACCGGGGAGGGUCAUUGGAAACUGGGAAACUUGAGUGCAGAAGAGGAGAGUGGAAUUCCACGUGUAGCGGUGAAAUGCGUAGAGAUGUGGAGGAACACCAGUGGCGAAGGCGACUCUCUGGUCUGUAACUGACGCUGAGGAGCGAAAGCGUGGGGAGCG
Molecule: ribosomal RNA, 713 nt
Filed under: Bacillus zhangzhouensis
Lineage: Bacteria; Bacillati; Bacillota; Bacilli; Caryophanales; Bacillaceae
Description: bacterial SSU rRNA
Rfam family: Bacterial small subunit ribosomal RNA
Source: RNAcentral